Molecule: ribosomal RNA, 519 nt
Filed under: uncultured eukaryote
Lineage: Eukaryota
Description: SSU rRNA
Rfam family: Eukaryotic small subunit ribosomal RNA
Source: RNAcentral
AGGGCACCACCAGGAGUGGAGCCUGCGGCUUAAUUUGACUCAACACGGGAAAACUUACCUGGUCCUGACACUAGAAGGAUUGACAGAUUGAUAGCUCUUUCUUGAUUUGGUGGAUGGUGGUGCAUGGCCGUUCUUAGUUGGUGGAGUGAUUUGUCUGGUUAAUUCCGAUAACGAACGAGACUCUAGCCUAUUAAAUAACACACAGAAUCUUGUCUUCUGUGGCGUUUCUUAAUGGGAUCAAGUGUGUUUAACACUUUGAAACAGAGCAAUAACAGGUCUGUGAUGCCCUUAGAUGUUCGGGGCCGCACGCGCGCUACAUUGAGAGACAAAAUGAGCUUUCUAGUCUUUAACGAGGCUAGUAAUCUUUGAAUGUUUUUCUUAAUGGGGAUAGGGGAUUGCAAUUGUGCCCCUUGAACGAGGAAUUCCCAGUAAGUGCUAGUCAUUAGCUAGUACUGAUUACGUCCCUGCCCUUUGUACACACCGCCCGUCGCUACUACCGAUUGAAUGGUUUAGUGAGAU